GGGCGUGUAGCUCAGUUGGCAGAGCACUUGACUUUUAAUCAAGUUGUCCGGGGUUCGAAUCCCCGCACGCUCA
This 73-nucleotide transfer RNA is filed under the name Dorea sp. Its description in RNAcentral is "tRNA-Lys". It matches the Rfam family "tRNA". Rfam says of the family: Transfer RNA (tRNA) molecules are approximately 80 nucleotides in length. Their secondary structure includes four short double-helical elements and three loops (D, anti-codon, and T loops). Further hydrogen bonds mediate the characteristic L-shaped molecular structure. tRNAs have two regions of fundamental functional importance: the anti-codon, which is responsible for specific mRNA codon recognition, and the 3' end, to which the tRNAs corresponding amino acid is attached (by aminoacyl-tRNA synthetases). tRNAs cope with the degeneracy of the genetic code in two manners: having more than one tRNA (with a specific anti-codon) for a particular amino acid; and 'wobble' base-pairing, i.e. permitting non-standard base-pairing at the 3rd anti-codon position. Lineage: Bacteria; Bacillati; Bacillota; Clostridia; Lachnospirales; Lachnospiraceae. RNAcentral also lists the same sequence under 1 other name. The record is from RNAcentral.